CGAGUAGGCGGAUUUGUAAGUCAGUAGUGAAAUACCACGGCUCAACUGUGGAGGUGCUAUUGAAACUGUAAAUCUUGAGUGAUGGAGAGGCAGACGGAAUUCCCAGUGUAGCAGUGAAAUGCGUAGAGAUUGGGAGGAACACCGGUGGCGAAGGCGGUCUGCUGGACAUUAACUGACGCUGAGGAGCGAAAGCGUGGGGGAGCAAACCA
This 209-nucleotide ribosomal RNA is filed under the name uncultured bacterium. Its description in RNAcentral is "partial 16S ribosomal RNA". It matches the Rfam family "Bacterial small subunit ribosomal RNA", at positions 568 to 775 of the family's 1533-position model. The record is from RNAcentral.